GUCAUGUGCUGCACACCCAGGCUGGAACAGCCUGUCUCCAGGAGAAAACGAAUACAGCAGGGAUGACUUCCACCAGCUCCACUUUGCAGCUCUGAGGUGUAUUAAAAAUAAACCUAGAGCCCCACCAAAUGAAUCCGCUGGCACGUGGACCUCAGAUGGGGGAAACUGAGGACUGAAUUCUGACCACCCUCCUUUGUUCUAAAUUUCUUCCUGAAGGACCUGGAAGAAGUCAUGCCACGGGCCAGACCUUAACAUUCCUUUCGGCUUACCCCAGGAUUUCAGACAAAGCUUCACUUUCCUAACCAGUCACAAAUCAGAGAAUUUUUGAUUCCACCUAUGACCUGUGAGCUCCUGCUUCAAGAUAUUCCACCUUUUUUAGGCCAAACCAAUGUAUAACCUCCAAGUGUCGAUUUACACUUUCGACUGUAACUUCUGCUUUCCUGAGAUUUACCCCUGCCUUUAAAAACCCUUGCUUGUAAUCCCUCAGGGAGGCCGUGUAUUUAUUAAUCAUGAGCUGCCCAAUUCUCCUUGCUUGGUGCCCUGCAAAUAAACACCCUCUUUUCUCCCACUGC
RNAcentral lists this long non-coding RNA (572 nucleotides) under Homo sapiens (human). RNAcentral's name for it is "HSALNT0345061". Lineage: Eukaryota; Metazoa; Chordata; Mammalia; Primates; Hominidae. The record is from RNAcentral.